GAUGAAGAACGCAGUGAAAUGCGAUACGUAAUGUGAAUUGCAGAAUUCCGUGAAUCAUCGAGUCUUUGAACGCACAUUGCGCCUCAUCUCAUUCCGUGAGGUAUGUACAUCUCAGCAUUAGAAAAUAUUCUCAAAUUUUAGUUUUGUGCUAAAAUUUGCAUUAUAUCAAGGAAGCUAUUACUAUUAUUGUGAUCACUCUUUGGAAAUUGAUAGGUCUUUGAGUUGCUACUCAUAGAACAUGAUGAAUCUUUCUUCGUUCUAUUGUAAUUCACUCUAGUAGUCCUACAACUUGUAUGCCUGUGGCAUAUCUUGUAAUUGAACCUGAGAUUGGGUAUGGAUAUCCGCUGAACUUAAGCAUAUCAAUAAGCGGAGGA
This 374-nucleotide unclassified non-coding RNA is filed under the name soil metagenome. Its description in RNAcentral is "partial internal transcribed spacer 1". The stretch from base 1 to 120 matches the Rfam family "5.8S ribosomal RNA", at positions 35 to 154 of the family's 154-position model. The record is from RNAcentral.